UGGGGAAUCUUGCACAAUGGGGGAAACCCUGAUGCAGCGACGCCGCGUGAGUGAUGACGCCCUUCGGGGUGUAAAGCUCUUUCGACGGGAACGAUUAUGACGGUACCCGGAGAAGAAGCUGCGGCUAACUACGUGCCAGCAGCCGCGGUAAUACGUAGGCAGCAAGCGUUGUUCGGAAUUACUGGGCGUAAAGAGUAUGUAGGUGGUUUGCUAAGUCCGAUGUGAAAUCUCCCGGCUUAACUGGGAGGGUGCGUUAGAUACUGGCAGGCUUGAGUGUGGGAGAGGAAAGCGGAAUUCCUGGUGUAGCGGUGAAAUGCGUAGAUAUCAGGAGGAACGCCUGUGGUGUAGACGGCUUUCUGGACCAUUACUGACACUGAGAUACGAAAGCGUGGGUAGCAAACAGG
Molecule: ribosomal RNA, 404 nt
Filed under: uncultured Candidatus Solibacter sp.
Lineage: Bacteria; Pseudomonadati; Acidobacteriota; Terriglobia; Bryobacterales; Solibacteraceae
Description: bacterial SSU rRNA
Rfam family: Bacterial small subunit ribosomal RNA
Source: RNAcentral